Molecule: microRNA precursor, 103 nt
Filed under: Marmota monax (woodchuck)
Lineage: Eukaryota; Metazoa; Chordata; Mammalia; Rodentia; Sciuridae
Source: RNAcentral
AGUGGAAUAGUUGGGUCAGAUGGUGGUUCCUUUUCAACUUUUCUGAGGAAUCACCAUACUGUUCUUCAUAAUGGUUGCAUCAAUUUGCAGUCCCAUCAGCAAU